GGGGCUUCCAGAGAGGCCUCCGUGUAGGCCUCCCUGAAGCCUGGACUUGGCAUUCCCCAGCAAGCCAGGAAGGAGGCAGGAAGAGUUCUCUGCAGCAGACUCUCUGCCCAGACCAUCCAACACAGCUUUUGCAAGGAUGGGAUGCGUGGGGACGUGGCAGAAAGGAGGCGAUUGGCUGACAGAGGGGGAAACAUGCAAGAGUUCUAGCCAUGCAUCCCGAGAGCACUGGCAACCAUCGCCACCCUGAAAAGAACGGCCCUGGCCCGCCCACACAGAGAUGGUCGUGGCGGCGGGCCCUGCCCUGCCCACACAGAGGAAGCAGCGGUGGGCCAGCCUAGCCUGGCUGCCAGGAGAAGGAGGUGCUUCCUCCAGUGUUCUGACCUCCAUCUCCAGUUGCUCUUCCAUGCAAGUACCUUCCAAUGAAAACACAAACAGAAAGGAAACCCGCCACCUUCCUUCCACCCAGUCACCCCUGAAGCCAAAGAGCUGUGAAGUCUCAAGGACAGCUAUUAAGUACAUGCCAUUAGGAGAUCACUUUAAACCUUCUAUGCAGACAGAGGUGGGGGACUUCUUUGUGACUAAUCUGAAAUUUCCCUUUAUUCUCUCUCUCUCUCUCCCUCCCUCCCUCCCUCAUUGUGGCAACUGAUAUUUAAGCCAUUCCUAUUCUUUUUUUAAUAAAGGCAUUUAGUGUACAUGCA
Long non-coding RNA from Hemicordylus capensis (graceful crag lizard), 698 nucleotides. RefSeq lists it as uncharacterized. NCBI's taxonomy places the organism in Eukaryota, Metazoa, Chordata, Lepidosauria, Squamata, Cordylidae. The transcript has 3 exons. The record is from RefSeq and is a predicted model, not a curated record.